Long non-coding RNA from Rhododendron vialii, 840 nucleotides. RefSeq lists it as uncharacterized. The transcript is spliced from 3 exons. The record is from RefSeq and is a predicted model, not a curated record. NCBI's taxonomy places the organism in Eukaryota, Viridiplantae, Streptophyta, Magnoliopsida, Ericales, Ericaceae.
GCCUCGUAAGGGAAGUAAUCUUGCAAGAUAUUGAAAAAAUAAAUAAAUCAGAACACGCGUUUCUACUACUCCCCUCUACUUCAGUCGUUCCAGAGGAAGAGAGAGUGAGAGAGAGAAGACCACCGCACCCAACCCACCGCCAACCACCACCACUGCCGACGAACAAGACGCCUCCACGACUGCCGACCACCACAACCUUUGUACGCCGACGAGCUUCGAACCACAAUCACUGGUAUCGAUCUCGAACGUUGACGAAGAACUCGACCACCACCGUUGCCGCACCAACGAAGAUUUUUUAGAAGAAUCCUACCAAGAUCAAGAAUCUGGUUUUUGAUCGCAGACUCUUAAAGACACUGGCUUUUGACUCGUUCUUCUACUGAUAUCCAUAGCGAUGGAAAAUUGGAAAGGAAACAGAUUGAUAGGUUAUUGCCCGGAGACUAUCACUAGAUUGGGCUUUGUUGAGCCAAUGCUUAUUCAGUCACAAGGAUGGUCAAUGGCCUUAAAGGGCAUGGAAGUGAAGGACAAUGCUUAUUAUGCUGAAAAUUGAAGAUCAAAAUCUUGUAAUUGGGUGCUUUUUGCAUCCAAAUCAUCAAAACUGCUACUGUCCUAGCAAGAGGGAGAGCACAAAGCAGUUCCACAACUCCAAAAUCAAGUUCCCCUUGGUGUAUGGGGCAUUCAGCCAAGAAGAGAUGCUAGUGACACUUAAGGAUUUUUUUCAUUUUGCUUGUAAUAUAGCUUAGGGUAGACAAUGAUGAUGAUGUUCGGCUCAUGCCUGUUAUGUAAAACAUUAUGUCAAUCUAGUUCUUUUUGCUAUCGUAUGGUCAAGAUAUAUUGUUCAAA